This 340-nucleotide unclassified non-coding RNA is filed under the name Hevea brasiliensis (rubber tree). The record is from RNAcentral. Lineage: Eukaryota; Viridiplantae; Streptophyta; Magnoliopsida; Malpighiales; Euphorbiaceae.
CAAUAACUUUCGUAGUAAAUUACAGCUAUUAUGCUAGACCUCUUUUUUCAGUUACAAAAACAUUUGCUAAACAAAAGAAAACAAAGAAUAUAGAAAAAGAGGGAAAUUUUGAAAUAAAGGAAGGGCAAUAAACAUGAUACUUAUUUGGAAGAAAAAUUAGAUCCAUUCUUGUAUCCAAUAACUUCCACUCUUCACUUCCCUCUUCAGGUUUAUGGUCAUAUUCCCAUCGUGCAGUUAGUGGCAGAGAAACAAGAAUACUUUCAAUUCGACCACGUCUUCAGCCCAAAUGUUGUGCCCCGAUCAUAAACCAGCGGCAAAGGAAAGAAGCAUAUCUUGAUCA